CCAAGUCACAUAUAAUACAUUAUAUAGCCAAAUGUAUGUGGUAACAUGACUGCCACACCUAUAUGAACUUGUUGGACAUCCCAUUCCAAAACCACGGGCAUUAGUAUGGAGUUGCUCCUCCCAUUUGCAGCUCCCAUUUGCAACUCUAGCAACCACCACUCUUUGGAGAAUGAUUUCCACAGGAACAUGCAUUAUAUAUGUUGGAAUUUGUGCCCAUUCAGCCAAAACUAAAUUUGUGAGGUCAGGCACUGAUGUUGGGUGAAACGGUUUGGCUCGAAACUAGCGUUGCAAUUCCUUCCAAAUAUUAGGGUUCAGGUGCCAGCCACUCAUUUUUCUCCACACCAGACUUGUCAGAUCAUGACUUCAUGGACCUCGCUUUGUACACACGGGCACAAGAAAAGACCUUCCUCACUGUUGUCACAAAUUGGAAUUCAUUCAUAUUAACAUGAACAUGAUCCCUCCUCCACCAAACUUUACAGAAGGCAUUACGUGUGUGUAAUUUCAUUGUAAGUAUAUAAUAUAUGUUAUUCAUAUAUAAUUACAUUAUUUUAUUAAUUAUAUAUUGGGGGAUCUGCCUGACAACCCAAGCAGCCCCCUGCAGGCAAUCAAGCUGAUCUAAAUCAUGUGAUUGUGGUGUCCCCUGGUGCUGGCUGCCUGGUUUGCAUUUUAGUCCCCCUGAUGAUAGCAUCCGGUGAGGUAAGUAUGAUUCGGUGAAGCUGUAGGGGCACUGACGUUAGGACGCCCCAACGUCAUUAAAGCCCAUUGACUUUCUGGUUAAGUUCUGUGAAUACAAGGUACAUUAUGUAUUACUUCAAUAGUAAUACUAAAGAUGAUUCUGCUCUUCCUUCAGGAUUAUAAAAUAUUCUGUAUAAUGAAAUCCAUAUAAACUACACAGUAUGGAAGAAUAUUAUAUACACUUAAGGGCAAUGAUCUUAUAACCUAUAAACAGAAUUCUAUAGUGGGGUUUUAAACAUGUGGUUUAAUCAGUUGCAUUGGGAGCACCACACUGACAUAUAAAGACAUGUUUAUUCCACACCUUAACAUCUUCAGCGCCACAAUUAGUUUGCAGUAUUUUCUUCAUUUUUGCAAGACCGCGUAAUAAUUGCAAGUUAAAUAUAUAUGGGUUGGUUUUAAUAUAUAACAUUUUUUUUAGUAGCUCACUGCCUGUCUGCUAAUCUAGUAGCUAUAUAGAUUUCCAAAUAUGGACAGUACUUGCAGAUUGUUAAAUAUUGUGCGUUUAUUGCAUGAAACGUGAUAUAUAACAUAUUGAUUGACUUGAAAGUCGAAUCUGUGAUCGCAUGUUAUAUAAUUUUAAAGAUUUGCAAGUGCUGUUCAUUUGCUGGGAAUCAUUAAACGAAAUAAAAAAGUAUAUACGUGUAAUGUAAUAUGACUCAUCGGAAUAGAACUCUUAAUAUUGUACCGAUAAACCAAAUGUUUACUUCUGAAAUGCAAUGAUUUUCCCUGAAGGCUAAUGUUGUGAAAUAAAAUGAUGGAUUGAAACAAUGA
Non-coding RNA from Pelobates cultripes (western spadefoot toad), 1506 nucleotides. The record is from the annotation of a GenBank genome assembly. Lineage: Eukaryota; Metazoa; Chordata; Amphibia; Anura; Pelobatidae.